CACGAACCACAUCCAGUCCUGGACCAGCGGGGCACUAGCCGCCACUACCCACUCAUCUCCAGAACUGCAACCCAAAGAGGUGGAGACAGCAUUACCUGGUGGUGGGCUUCUGGCUUUCAUUCAUGUGAUUUGAGAAGAGAGAAAUGGGACCAGGAAGAAAAAAACAGAAGAAGGUAUUGUGGAGGAAGAGAGAAAAAACACACACACAAGGUGGAGAGUGAGAUGGGAGUCUCUUGUCACAAUUUGAUGAAGAUUUACCAACGAAAGAGAAAUUAGAG
This 278-nucleotide long non-coding RNA is filed under the name Cercocebus atys (sooty mangabey). RNAcentral describes it as "lncRNA (ENSCATG00000045598.1)". Lineage: Eukaryota; Metazoa; Chordata; Mammalia; Primates; Cercopithecidae. The record is from RNAcentral.